Molecule: long non-coding RNA, 293 nt
Organism: Selaginella moellendorffii
Lineage: Eukaryota; Viridiplantae; Streptophyta; Lycopodiopsida; Selaginellales; Selaginellaceae
Exons: 2
Source: RefSeq, a predicted model, not a curated record
GAGUCCUCUCUUACUCGCGUGUGGAACCAGGCUUCCAGCAGCUGUUGACGACGUAUGAGUUCCAUGUCCAACCGAGUCUCUCGAGUUCUUGUGAGACUUUCGCUCCGUUAUAGUAUCUGGCUCCAACGAGCUUCCUGUUGACAGUCUCAUUGGCUUUGGUGCCUGGUGGAUUGACGCAAGUUCCUCUCCAACGAGCUGGCACAGGUCCCAUGUCGGUGUCCUUGAAACUCUCCGACUCUGGCCAGAUUCUUACGCACAGAGCAAGUAAGCACAUUGAGCUUUUCCGAGCGAGU